AGCCAAUCUUCUCAAUUCUAACUCUUAUGGAUUUCUCUGAUUCCAUGCUAUCGUGUGAGCUUUCCAUCCAGUUUAGGACAUUUCUCCAAGUAAGACAGUGACAGAAAGGCAGAAAACAGACUCUGUAGCUGAGCCACAAAGAUGCACGGCCACCCAUCAGAAUCCCCAAGCCGUGGUCAGUUGAGUACGGCCACAACGCCUGUCAAUCCAAAAUCACCCUCAAACAGACUUGAUUUAAAUAUUACAGCCCUCAGUAUGGUUCAUCUGUGAUAAUAAAGCUCCAUUCCUACA
Long non-coding RNA from Peromyscus leucopus (white-footed mouse), 291 nucleotides. RefSeq lists it as uncharacterized. The record is from RefSeq and is a predicted model, not a curated record. NCBI's taxonomy places the organism in Eukaryota, Metazoa, Chordata, Mammalia, Rodentia, Cricetidae. The transcript is spliced from 2 exons.